RNAcentral lists this ribosomal RNA (243 nucleotides) under uncultured bacterium. Its description in RNAcentral is "partial 16S ribosomal RNA". It matches the Rfam family "Bacterial small subunit ribosomal RNA", at positions 524 to 766 of the family's 1533-position model. The record is from RNAcentral.
UACGUAGGGUGCGAGCGUUAAUCGGAAUUACUGGGCGUAAAGCGUGCGCAGGCGGCGCGUUAAGACAGGUGUGAAAGCCCCGAGCUUAACUUGGGAAUUGCGCUUGUGACUGGCGUGCUGGAGUGUGGCAGAGGGAGGUGGAAUUCCACGUGUAGCAGUGAAAUGCGUAGAGAUGUGGAGGAACACCCAUGGCGAAGGCAGCUCUCUGGUCGACCUCUGACGUGAGACGCGAAAAGCGUGGGG